This 286-nucleotide small RNA is filed under the name Paraburkholderia tropica. Its description in RNAcentral is "5_ureB_sRNA". It matches the Rfam family "5' ureB small RNA". Lineage: Bacteria; Pseudomonadati; Pseudomonadota; Betaproteobacteria; Burkholderiales; Burkholderiaceae. The record is from RNAcentral.
CUUCGUCGAUCUGCUGCGGGCUGAUGAAGUGGAUGUGCGUGUCGAUGCCGCCCGCCGUGACGAUCUGGCCUUCGCCCGCGAUCACUUCGGUCGAAGCGCCGAUCGGAAUCGUCACGCCCGGCUGCACGUCGGGAUUGCCCGCCUUGCCGAUGCGCCAGACGCGGCCGUCCUUGAUGCCGAUGUCGGCCUUCACGAUGCCCCAGUGAUCGAUGAUCACGGCGUUGGUCACGACCGUGUCGGCGACUUCGGCGUGCAGGCGCUGCGACUGGCCCAUGCCGUCGCGGAU